This 244-nucleotide ribosomal RNA is filed under the name uncultured Actinomycetales bacterium. RNAcentral's name for it is "partial 16S ribosomal RNA". It matches the Rfam family "Bacterial small subunit ribosomal RNA", at positions 101 to 339 of the family's 1533-position model. The record is from RNAcentral. Lineage: Bacteria; Bacillati; Actinomycetota; Actinomycetes; Actinomycetales.
AACGGGUGAGUAACACGUGAGUAACCUGCCCCUUACUUUCCUGGAUAACUGCUCGAAAGGGUAGCUAAUACGGGAUAUUCUGGCCUUCCUGCAUGGGUUGGUUUGGAAAGGUUGUUUUUCUGGUAAGGGAUGGGCUCGCGGCCUAUCAGCUUGUUGGUGGGGUGAUGGCCUACCAAGGCUUUGACGGGUAGCCGGCCUGAGAGGGUGGACGGUCACACUGGGACUGAGAUACGGCCCAGACUCC